CCAGACUUCCUACGGGAGGCAGCAGUGGGGAAUAUUGCACAAUGGGGGAAACCCUGAUGCAGCGACGCCGCGUGAAGGACGAAGUAUUUCGGUACGUAAACUUCUAUCAGCAGGGAAGAAAAUGACGGUACCUGACCAAGAAGCCCCGGCUAACUACGUGCCAGCAGCCGCGGUAAUACGUAGGGGGCAAGCGUUAUCCGGAUUUACUGGGUGUAAAGGGAGCGUAGACGGCCAUGCAAGUCUGAUGUGAAAACCCGGGGCUCAACCCCGGGACUGCAUUGGAAACUGUGCGGCUGGAGCGGCGGAGAGGCAAGUGGAAUUCCUAGUGUAGCGGUGAAAUGCGUAGAUAUUAGGAGGAACACCAGUGGCGAAGGCGGCUUGCUGGACGACGACUGACGUUGAGGCUCGAAAGCGUGGGGGGCACACA
Molecule: ribosomal RNA, 427 nt
Filed under: uncultured bacterium
Lineage: Bacteria
Description: bacterial SSU rRNA
Rfam family: Bacterial small subunit ribosomal RNA
Source: RNAcentral